This 999-nucleotide ribosomal RNA is filed under the name uncultured bacterium. Its description in RNAcentral is "bacterial SSU rRNA". It matches the Rfam family "Bacterial small subunit ribosomal RNA", at positions 356 to 1376 of the family's 1533-position model. The record is from RNAcentral.
GGGGGAUAUUGCACAAUGGGGGAAACCCUGAUGCAGCGACGCCGCGUGGAGGAAGAAGGUUUUCGGAUUGUAAACUCCUGUCGUUAGGGACGAUAAUGACGGUACCUAACAAGAAAGCACCGGCUAACUACGUGCCAGCAGCCGCGGUAAUACGUAGGGAGCAAGCGUUGUCCGGAUUUACUGGGUGUAAAGGGUGCGUAGGCGGCUUUGCAAGUCAGAUGUGAAAUCUAUGGGCUCAACCCAUAAACUGCAUUUGAAACUGUAGAGCUUGAGUGAAGUAGAGGCAGGCGGAAUUCCCCGUGUAGCGGUGAAAUGCGUAGAGAUGGGGAGGAACACCAGUGGCGAAGGCGGCCUGCUGGGCUUUAACUGACGCUGAGGCACGAAAGCGUGGGUAGCAAACAGGAUUAGAUACCCUGGUAGUCCACGCUGUAAACGAUGAUUACUAGGUGUGGGGGGUCUGACCCCUUCCGUGCCGGAGUUAACACAAUAAGUAAUCCACCUGGGGAGUACGGCCGCAAGGUUGAAACUCAAAGGAAUUGACGGGGGCCCGCACAAGCAGUGGAGUAUGUGGUUUAAUUCGAAGCAACGCGAAGAACCUUACCAGGUCUUGACAUCCAACUAACGAAGUAGAGAUACAUUAGGUGCCCUUCGGGGAAAGUUGAGACAGGUGGUGCAUGGUUGUCGUCAGCUCGUGUCGUGAGAUGUUGGGUUAAGUCCCGCAACGAGCGCAACCCUUGCUAUUAGUUGCUACGCAAGAGCACUCUAAUAGGACUGCCGUUGACAAAACGGAGGAAGGUGGGGACGACGUCAAAUCAUCAUGCCCCUUAUGACCUGGGCUACACACGUACUACAAUGGAUGUUAACAGAGGGAAGCAAGACAGCGAUGUGGAGCAAACCCCUAAAAACAUUCUCAGUUCAGAUUGCAGGCUGCAACCCGCCUGCAUGAAGAUGGAAUUGCUAGUAAUCGCGGAUCAGCAUGCCGCGGUGAAUACGUUCCCG